Molecule: ribosomal RNA, 676 nt
Filed under: Salmonella enterica subsp. enterica serovar Kentucky
Lineage: Bacteria; Pseudomonadati; Pseudomonadota; Gammaproteobacteria; Enterobacterales; Enterobacteriaceae
Description: bacterial LSU rRNA
Rfam family: Bacterial large subunit ribosomal RNA
Source: RNAcentral
GGGUUGUGAGGUUAAGCGACUAAGCGUACACGGUGGAUGCCCUGGCAGUCAGAGGCGAUGAAGGACGUGCUAAUCUGCGAUAAGCGCCGGUAAGGUGAUAUGAACCGUUAUAACCGGCGAUUUCCGAAUGGGGAAACCCAGUGUGACUCGUCACACUAUCAUUAACUGAAUCCAUAGGUUAAUGAGGCGAACCGGGGGAACUGAAACAUCUAAGUACCCCGAGGAAAAGAAAUCAACCGAGAUUCCCCCAGUAGCGGCGAGCGAACGGGGAGGAGCCCAGAGCCUGAAUCAGCAUGUGUGUUAGUGGAAGCGUCUGGAAAGGCGCGCGAUACAGGGUGACAGCCCCGUACACAAAAGCGCAUGUGUUGUGAGCUCGAUGAGUAGGGCGGGACACGUGGUAUCCUGUCUGAAUAUGGGGGGACCAUCCUCCAAGGCUAAAUACUCCUGACUGACCGAUAGUGAACCAGUACCGUGAGGGAAAGGCGAAAAGAACCCCGGCGAGGGGAGUGAAAAAGAACCUGAAACCGUGUACGUACAAGCAGUGGGAGCCCCACCACUAAGCCAGUGGUGAACUCCACAUACGCAUCCUUUGCUGAAGGUGCGGUUAACGGAGCGCAAGCGACGUUCAACCUCAAAAGAAGCAGAGGGGGCUUAGUGGUGGGGUGACUGCGUACCU